This 92-nucleotide ribosomal RNA is filed under the name Sinocyclocheilus rhinocerous. Lineage: Eukaryota; Metazoa; Chordata; Actinopteri; Cypriniformes; Cyprinidae. The record is from RNAcentral.
UAUAACAGCGAAUUCGCAUCGUGUUUCAGGGAGUUGAGCCUGGUCAGUACCUGGAUGGGAGACCUCCUGGGAAAACUAGGUUGCUGCUGGAA